RNAcentral lists this ribosomal RNA (468 nucleotides) under uncultured bacterium. Its description in RNAcentral is "partial 16S ribosomal RNA". It matches the Rfam family "Bacterial small subunit ribosomal RNA", at positions 28 to 507 of the family's 1533-position model. The record is from RNAcentral.
GACGAACGCUGGCGGCGUGCUUAACACAUGCAAGUCGAACGGAAAGGCCCUGCUUUUGUGGGGUGCUCGAGUGGCGAACGGGUGAGUAACACGUGAGUAACCUGCCCUUGACUUUGGGAUAACUUCAGGAAACUGGGGCUAAUACCGGAUAGGAGCUCCUGCUGCAUGGUGGGGGUUGGAAAGUUUCGGCGGUUGGGGAUGGACUCGCGGCUUAUCAGCUUGUUGGUGGGGUAGUGGCUUACCAAGGCUUUGACGGGUAGCCGGCCUGAGAGGGUGACCGGCCACAAUGGGACUGAGAAAGGGGCCAGAGUCCUACGGGAGGCAGCAGUGGGGAAUAUUGCACAAUGGGCGGAAGCAUGAAGCAGCAACGCCGGGUGGGGGAUGACGGCCUUCGGGUUGUAAACCGCUUUCGCGUGUGAAGAAGAGUGAGUGACGGUAAUGGGUAAAGAAGCAACGGCUAACUACGUG